AUUGAACGCCGGCGGCAUGCCUUACACAUGCAAGUCGAACGGCAGCGGACCUUCGGGUGCCGGCGAGUGGCGAACGGGUGAGUAAUGCAUCGGAACGUGCCAUUGAGUGGGGGGAUAACGUAGCGAAAGUUGCGCUAAUACCGCAUAUUCUGUGAGCAGGAAAGCAGGGGACCGCAAGGCCUUGCGCUCUUUGAGCGGCCGAUGUCAGAUUAGCUAGUUGGUGAGGUAAAGGCUUACCAAGGCGACGAUCUGUAGCGGGUCUGAGAGGAUGAUCCGCCACACUGGAACUGAGACACGGUCCAGACUCCUACGGGAGGCAGCAGUGGGGAAUUUUGGACAAUGGGCGCAAGCCUGAUCCAGCCAUGCCGCGUGAGUGAAGAAGGCCUCGGUUGG
This 393-nucleotide ribosomal RNA is filed under the name uncultured bacterium. RNAcentral describes it as "bacterial SSU rRNA". It matches the Rfam family "Bacterial small subunit ribosomal RNA", at positions 30 to 426 of the family's 1533-position model. The record is from RNAcentral.